UUUAAUAUAAUAAAUAUUCAAAAUUAAUGGUAAUAGAUAUUACCGUUGUACGUUAAUACUAAUAAUAUAUUUUAAGCAAUCGUUUAGGACACGAUGAAAAUUUUAAUAAUUUUAUUACUCUCGAUUAAAGUAGCACACGUAUUAGAACUCAAUGAUACCACUAAUCAUAUUAUCAACAAAGGACUUAUAUGCAAUGAUAAACAAUAUGAUGCGGACAAGUGUCCGUACGAAUUCACAAGUACGAGUAGUUUAUCAACAUGUGAAGACGCCACUGAUUAUCAGUAUAAUAACACUUGCACUGAUUCAACAAAAGUUAACAAAAAUAAAAUGAAAGCCCGAUUAAAAUUUCUGUGUAUAAUCACUACCGUGGCCCUCGUCAUCACCCUCACUGCAAUGGCUUUCGUCAUCGGCCUCGCCAUACCUGUCGUCGUCGCAAUCGAUGUGGUCGUCGUCACAAUCGAUGCGGUCGUCGUCCUCGUGGGCUAGCCGUGUCUGUUGUUGUCGCAGUCGCUGUGGCUAUCGUCGUCGGCGUCGCAGUGGCUGCUGUUGUCACAAUGGCUGUCGUCAAAGUUGCUGUGGCUGUAGUCAACGUCGCCGUGGCUGUCAUCGUGGCAGUAUAAUAAUGGACCCACUAGAAGAAACUGCUGUGUGUAAAAGAUGUGGGUAUUUCAUUCUUAACCAUGCAGCUAAAGUGCCAGAGUAAUAUCCUCCAAAUGCUAUCCAUUUAGCUGUAAACGACUUCAAUCGUGCUGACUGCUGAUAAUGGUCAACUGGCUCGGAAAUGGACAUCCGACAGUGAUGAUAAUUGACAUUGAUAUCUUCCAACAAAAUUACGACAGAAAGAACUCAAAAAAAGGGUACGAUUUGAUAAGCGAUGUCCGUAUAAUGAAAAAGUGAUAAUAAAAUUUAUAAUAGUGUCCAAACUGUUUUGAAACAAUUUCACUCGCGACUCAUGCGUUUAUAAGAAAUCAUUUCCUUUUUAUUUCAACUACGAGGUCAACGCUCGAACACAAUUGAAUGUUUUGUAUAUGUUAAUAAAUUAAUAAAAUGCAGUUUGUAUUUUUAUAUUAGACACAAAAUGAGUAGGCACCUAUACUUACUUAGGGGUACAAGCAAUAUAAUACGAUGUAUUCAACAUAGUUUCUGUUAGUAAAUGGACGUAAAAAAAAAAGGUGGGAAAGUGGAUGUCACUAUGCUGUACAGUAGGUUACAAGUAGGUCACUGUAUAAUUAAAGG
Acyrthosiphon pisum (pea aphid) is the source of this 1236-nucleotide RNA transcript. RefSeq lists it as uncharacterized. The record is from RefSeq and is a predicted model, not a curated record. Lineage: Eukaryota; Metazoa; Arthropoda; Insecta; Hemiptera; Aphididae. The transcript has 4 exons.